CCUACGGGUGGCAGCAGUGAGGAAUAUUGGUCAAUGGGCGAGAGCCUGAACCAGCCAAGUCGCGUGAGGGAGUACUGCCCUAUGGGUUGUAAACCUCUUUUGUCGGGGAGCAAAAGCCGGACGUGUCCGGCUGUGAGAGUACCCGAAGAAAAAGCAUCGGCUAACUCCGUGCCAGCAGCCGCGGUAAUACGGAGGAUGCGAGCGUUAUCCGGAUUUAUUGGGUUUAAAGGGGGCGCAGGCGGAUUUUUAAGUCAGCGGUAAAAUCGUGGGGCUCAACCCCAUCCAGCCGUUGAAACUGGGGAUCUAGAGUGUGCGAGAGGUAUGCGGAAUGCGUGGUGUAGCGGUGAAAUGCAUAGAUAUCACGCAGAACCCCGAUUGCGAAGGCAGCAUACCGGUGCACAACUGACGCUCAGGCACGAAAGCGUGGGUAUCGAACAGGAUUAGAUACCCGUGUAGUC
RNAcentral lists this ribosomal RNA (458 nucleotides) under uncultured bacterium. RNAcentral describes it as "partial 16S ribosomal RNA". It matches the Rfam family "Bacterial small subunit ribosomal RNA", at positions 338 to 795 of the family's 1533-position model. The record is from RNAcentral.